This 73-nucleotide transfer RNA is filed under the name Candidatus Omnitrophota bacterium. RNAcentral's name for it is "tRNA-Ala". It matches the Rfam family "tRNA". From Rfam's summary of the family: Transfer RNA (tRNA) molecules are approximately 80 nucleotides in length. The record is from RNAcentral. Lineage: Bacteria; Pseudomonadati; Candidatus Omnitrophota.
GGGCCUGUAGCUCAGCUGGGAGAGCGCUACAUUCGCAUUGUAGAGGUCAGGGGUUCAAAUCCCCUCAGGUCCA